AACGAACGCUGGCGGCAUGCCUAACACAUGCAAGUCGAACGAGACCUUCGGGUCUAGUGGCUCACGGGUGCGUAACGCGUGGGAACCUGCCCUUAGGCUCGGAAUAACUCUCCGUAAGGGGUGCUAAUAUCGGAUAAUGUCUUCGGACCAAAGAUUUAUCGCCUUUGGAUGGGCCCGCGUUGGAUUAGCUAGUUGGUAGGGUAAAAGCCUACCAAGGCGACGAUCCAUAGCUGGUCUGAGAGGAUGAUCAGCCACACUGGGACUGAGACACGGCCCAGACUCCUACGGGAGGCAGCAGUGGGGAAUAUUGGACAAUGGGCGAAGGCCUGAUCCAGCAAUGCCGCGUGAGUGAUGAAGGCCUUAGGGUUGUAAAGCUCUUUUACCCGGGAUGAUAAUGACAGUACCGGGAGAAUAAGCUCCGGCUAACUCCGUG
RNAcentral lists this ribosomal RNA (433 nucleotides) under uncultured bacterium. Its description in RNAcentral is "partial 16S ribosomal RNA". It matches the Rfam family "Bacterial small subunit ribosomal RNA", at positions 29 to 507 of the family's 1533-position model. The record is from RNAcentral.